UAAUACGUCAUUUGGUGUUUCCG
This 23-nucleotide microRNA is filed under the name Caenorhabditis brenneri. RNAcentral describes it as "cbn-miR-70". Its record names the gene cbn-miR-70. Lineage: Eukaryota; Metazoa; Nematoda; Chromadorea; Rhabditida; Rhabditidae. The record is from miRBase by way of RNAcentral.